Molecule: ribosomal RNA, 253 nt
Filed under: uncultured bacterium
Lineage: Bacteria
Description: partial 16S ribosomal RNA
Rfam family: Bacterial small subunit ribosomal RNA
Source: RNAcentral
UACGAGGGGGGCAAGCGUUGUUCGGAAUUAUUGGGCGUAAAGGGUGCGUUGGCGGUUUGGUAAGUCUCUUGUGAAAUCUAUGGGCUCAACUCAUAGUCUGCAAGGGAAACUGCCGGGCUUGAGUGUGGGAGAGGUGAGUGGAAUUUCCGGUGUAGCGGUGAAAUGCGUAGAUAUCGGAAGGAACACCUGUGGCGAAAGCGGCUCACUGGACCACAACUGACGCUGAUGCACGAAAGCUAGGGGAGCAAACAGG